AGAGUUUGAUCCUGGCUCAGNNNGAACGCUGGCGGCAGGCUUAACACAUGCAAGUCGAACGCACCGCAAGGUGAGUGGCAGACGGGUGAGUAACGCGUGGGAACGUGCCCUUCAGUUCGGGAUAACCCAGGGAAACUUGGGCUAAUACCGGAUACGUGCGAGAGCAGAAAGAUUCAUCGCUGAAGGAUCGGCCCGCGUCUGAUUAGCUAGUUGGUAGGGUAAUGGCCUACCAAGGCGACGAUCAGUAGCUGGUCUGAGAGGAUGAUCAGCCACAUUGGGACUGAGACACGGCCCAAACUCCUACGGGAGGCAGCAGUGGGGAAUAUUGGACAAUGGGCGCAAGCCUGAUCCAGCCAUGCCGCGUGAGUGAUGAAGGCCUUAGGGUUGUAAAGCUCUUUCGUCCGGGACGAUAAUGACGGUACCGGAAGAAGAAGCCCCGGCUAACUUCGUGCCAGCAGCCGCGGUAAUACGAAGGGGGCUAGCGUUGUUCGGAAUCACUGGGCGUAAAGGGCGCGUAGGCGGCCUGAUAAGUCGGGGGUGAAAGCCUGUGGCUCAACCACAGAAUUGCCUUCGAUACUGUCGGGCUUGAGACCGGAAGAGGUAAGUGGAACUGCGAGUGUAGAGGUGAAAUUCGUAGAUAUUCGCAAGAACACCAGUGGCGAAGGCGGCUUACUGGUCCGGUUCUGACGCUGAGGCGCGAAAGCGUGGGGAGCAAACAGGAUUAGAUACCCUAGUAGUCC
Molecule: ribosomal RNA, 740 nt
Filed under: uncultured bacterium
Lineage: Bacteria
Description: bacterial SSU rRNA
Rfam family: Bacterial small subunit ribosomal RNA
Source: RNAcentral